GUCUACAGCCAUGCCACCCUGAACCAGUCUGAUCCCGUCUGAUCUCGGAAGCUAAGCAGGGUCGGGCCUGUUUAGUACUUGGAUGGGAGACCGCCUAGAAAAACCAGGUGCUGUAGGCG
Molecule: ribosomal RNA, 119 nt
Filed under: Pteropus alecto (black flying fox)
Lineage: Eukaryota; Metazoa; Chordata; Mammalia; Chiroptera; Pteropodidae
Source: RNAcentral